RNAcentral lists this long non-coding RNA (470 nucleotides) under Homo sapiens (human). RNAcentral describes it as "non-protein coding lnc-ANKRD20A4-13:1". Lineage: Eukaryota; Metazoa; Chordata; Mammalia; Primates; Hominidae. The record is from RNAcentral.
AUAAGGGUUGAGAUGAUGAGAUGAAAUGAGAUGAAAAGAUGAAAUGAUGAGAUGAAAUGAUGAGAUGAAAUGAGAAAAUGAUGAUAUGAAAUGAUGAGAUGAAUGAUGAAAUGAAAUGAUGAGAUGAGAUGAUGAAAUGAAAUGGUGAGAUGAAAUGAUGAGAUGAAAUGAAAUAGUGAAAUGAAAUUGAAAUAAAAUCGAAAUGAGAUGAGAUGAAAUGAUGAGAUGAUGAAAUAAAAUGAUGAAAUGAGAUGUGAUGAGAUGAAAUGAUGACAUGAAAUGAUGAGAUGAGAUGAGAUGAGAUGACAUGAAAUAAUGAAAUGAAAUUGAAAUGAGAUAAGAUACGAGAUGAGAUGAAAUGAUGAGAUGAAAUGAAAUGAUGAGAUAAGAUGAAAAGAGUUGAUGAGAUGAUGAGAUGAAAUGAGAUGAAAAGAUGAAAUGAUGAGAUGAAAUGAGGUGAAAUGAAAUUA